This 253-nucleotide ribosomal RNA is filed under the name uncultured bacterium. RNAcentral's name for it is "partial 16S ribosomal RNA". It matches the Rfam family "Bacterial small subunit ribosomal RNA", at positions 524 to 776 of the family's 1533-position model. The record is from RNAcentral.
UACGUAGGGUGCAAGCGUUGUCCGGAAUUAUUGGGCGUAAAGAGCUUGUAGGCGGUUUGUCGCGUCUGCUGUGAAAUUUCGGGGCUCAACCCCGAACUUGCAGUGGGUACGGGCAGACUAGAGUGUGGUAGGGGAGACUGGAAUUCCUGGUGUAGCGGUGAAAUGCGCAGAUAUCAGGAGGAACACCAGUGGCGAAGGCGGAACUCUGGGCCGGAACUGACGCUGAGACGCGAAAGCGUGGGGAGCAAACAGG